This 253-nucleotide ribosomal RNA is filed under the name uncultured bacterium. Its description in RNAcentral is "partial 16S ribosomal RNA". It matches the Rfam family "Bacterial small subunit ribosomal RNA", at positions 524 to 776 of the family's 1533-position model. The record is from RNAcentral.
UACGGAGGGUGCAAACGUUGCUCGGAAUCAUUGGGCGUAAAGCGCACGUAGGCGGCCUGAUAAGUCGGGUGUGAAAGCCCUGGGCUCAACCCAGGAAGUGCACUCGAAACUGUCAGGCUUGAAUAUGGAAGAGGGUCGCGGAAUUCCCGGUGUAGAGGUGAAAUUCGUAGAUAUCGGGAGGAACACCAGUGGCGAAGGCGGCGACCUGGCCCGAUACUGACGCUGAGGCACGAAAGCGUGGGGAGCAAACAGG